RNAcentral lists this ribosomal RNA (577 nucleotides) under uncultured soil bacterium. Its description in RNAcentral is "bacterial SSU rRNA". It matches the Rfam family "Bacterial small subunit ribosomal RNA", at positions 830 to 1409 of the family's 1533-position model. The record is from RNAcentral.
AAGCAAUUCCUUGGUAACGAAGCUAACGCGUGAAGUUGACCGCCUGGGGAGUACGGCCGCAAGGUUAAAACUCAAAGGAAUUGACGGGGACCCGCACAAGCGGUGGAUUAUGUGGAUUAAUUCGAUGCAACGCGAAAAACCUUACCUACCCUUGACAUGCCAGGAACCCUCCAGAGAUGGGGGGGUGCCCGAAAGGGAACCUGGACACAGGUGCUGCAUGGCUGUCGUCAGCUCGUGUCGUGAGAUGUUGGGUUAAGUCCCGCAACGAGCGCAACCCUUGCCAUUAGUUGCCACAUUCAGUUGGGCACUCUAAUGGGACUGCCGGUGACAAACCGGAGGAAGGUGGGGAUGACNUCAAGUCCUCAUGGCCCUUAUGGGUAGGGCUUCACACGUAAUACAAUGGCCAGUACAGAGGGCAGCCAACCCGCGAGGGGGAGCUAAUCCCAGAAAGCCGGUCGUAGUCCGGAUUGCAGUCUGCAACUCGACUGCAUGAAGCCGGAAUCGCUAGUAAUCACCGAUCAGCAUGUCGCGGUGAAUACUCCCGGGUCUUGUACACACCGCCCGUCACACCAUGGGA